Molecule: ribosomal RNA, 459 nt
Filed under: uncultured bacterium
Lineage: Bacteria
Description: partial 16S ribosomal RNA
Rfam family: Bacterial small subunit ribosomal RNA
Source: RNAcentral
CCUACGGGUGGCAGCAGUGAGGAAUAUUGGUCAAUGGGCGCGAGCCUGAACCAGCCAAGUCGCGUGAGGGAAGACGGUCCUAUGGAUUGUAAACCUCUUUUGUCGGGGAGCAAAAGACGCCACGCGUGGCGUUCCGAGAGUACCCGAAGAAGAAGCAUCGGCUAACUCCGUGCCAGCAGCCGCGUUAAUACGGAGGAUGCGAGCGUUAUCCGGAUUUAUUGGGUUUAAAGGUUGCGCAGGCGGAAGAUCAAGUCAGCGGUAAAAUUGAGGGGCUCAACCUCGUCGAGCCGUUGAAACUGGUUGUCUUGAGUGAGUGAGAAGUAUGCGGAAUGCGUGGUGUAGCGGUGAAAUGCAUAGAUAUCACGCAGAACUCCGAUUGCGAAGGCAGCAUACCGGCGCUCAACUGACGCUCAUGCACGAAAGUGUGGGUAUCGAACAGGAUUAGAUACCCGUGUAGUC